This 303-nucleotide ribosomal RNA is filed under the name uncultured bacterium. Its description in RNAcentral is "partial 16S ribosomal RNA". It matches the Rfam family "Bacterial small subunit ribosomal RNA", at positions 507 to 808 of the family's 1533-position model. The record is from RNAcentral.
AGCAGUAGCCGCGGGAAUACGGAGGGUGCAAGCGUUAAUCGGAAUUACUGGGCGUAAAGCGCACGCAGGCGGUCUGACAAGUCAGAUGUGAAAUCCCCGGGCUUAACCUGGGAACUGCAUUUGAAACUGUCAGGCUGGAGUCUUGUAGAGGGGGGUGGAAUUCCAGGUGUAGCGGUGAAAUGCGUAGAGAUCUGGAGGAAUACCGGUGGCGAAGGCGGCCCCCUGGACAAAGACUGACGCUCAGGUGCGAAAGCGUGGGGAGCAAACAGGAUUAGAUACCCGAGUAGUCCCUGUCUCUUAACA